Molecule: non-coding RNA, 610 nt
Organism: Misgurnus anguillicaudatus (oriental weatherfish)
Lineage: Eukaryota; Metazoa; Chordata; Actinopteri; Cypriniformes; Cobitidae
Source: RefSeq, a predicted model, not a curated record
UCAUUCAGUGUAAUGAGAUCAGGAAACCAUUUUGAAAUUAAAUAAACAAACAAUAGUCAUCAAGCAGUCUGUGACAUCAUCAAAAGGCCCCCUGAAGACCAUGUGGUGAUUCAGCAAGAUGCCCACAAACAAAGAGAAAGUUUCUAGGCACUGGCAGAAAGUUAAUGCAGACCCAGUAGCUAGGGCAAUGCAUUUAGCAAGGAGACGAGAAAGCAACCAGAGAAGAAAGCAAGCUGCCUUGGCUGCAAAUCCUGAUCACCUGUCAAUCAGGAAUUUAUCAGAUGCUGCAGCUGAGAAGAGGCGAAAGCAAUGGCGGGAAAAUCAAAGAAAACACAGGACAGAAGCUAAAUGUAUAAGGGCAGUUCUGGAUCUUAUUAUACAGUAUUACCACCUGUUCAGUUAAUUUUUACGAAUAUGAUAUGCAUUAUGGAAUAAAAAUGAUUAUUAAUUUCAGCAUCUACUUCUGUGAUUUGUUAAGGAAUAAAAUGAUACAGAAUAAUAUUCAAAACAUUGCAAUAAUGGAAACAAUGACACUAUUUUUGUCAAAAAUGUCAUUCAGUGUAACAAACCAUGGUCAUUCGGUGUAACACAUAUAUUUUGUAGAAAUGAA